GUAGGGAAUCUUCCACAAUGGACGAAAGUCUGAUGGAGCAACGCCGCGUGAGUGAUGAAGGGUUUCGGCUCGUAAAACUCUGUUGUUGGAGAAGAACGGGUGUCAGAGUAACUGUUGACAUCGUGACGGUAUCCAACCAGAAAGCCACGGCUAACUACGUGCCAGCAGCCGCGGUAAUACGUAGGUGGCAAGCGUUGUCCGGAUUUAUUGGGCGUAAAGCGAGCGCAGGCGGUUUUUUAGGUCUGAUGUGAAAGCCUUCGGCUUAACCGGAGAAGUGCAUCGGAAACCGGGAGACUUGGAGUGCAGAAGAGGACAGUGGAACUCCAUGUGUAGCGGUGAAAAUGCGUAGAUAUAUGGAAGAACACCAGUGGCGAAGGCGGCUGUCUGGUCUGCAACUGACGCUGAGGCUCGAAAGCAUGGGUAGCGAACAGGAUUAGAUACCCUGGUAGUCCAUGCCGUAAACGAUGAGUGCUAAGUGUUGGAGGGUU
Molecule: ribosomal RNA, 488 nt
Filed under: uncultured bacterium
Lineage: Bacteria
Description: partial 16S ribosomal RNA
Rfam family: Bacterial small subunit ribosomal RNA
Source: RNAcentral